ACUUGAGCUUGGUGUUGUUGUUCCUUCUUGACUCAAGAUGAAAGCAAGACAUGAUGAAGUCUUCAAGAAGCUCUCCCAUACACAAUGUGGAAAGCCUAGCUUGUGUAUUCAUCUUCAUCUGUCCACCAUGUGAGCAUCCACAAGAUUCAAGCAUGUAGUACUCACGAAUGCUUAUCUUGAUCUUGUCCUUGUUAGCACAUGAGCUUGUCCUUAUCAACACAUGAUCAUAACAACAGCUUAAAAGGGGAUUAGUGAUUAGUUAUCUAUAUGUGUGUUGUCAGCAACACCAAAACACGAUUAAGGGCAUGACUGCACUUUCAACAGUACCGUAAAUUUGUCUCCGGGCUAUAUAUAUAGUAAUACAGACACUCAUAAGUCGGGGUCAUCUGAAAAUCCUAAUCCUAGGCUCCUAACCUCCUAGGGGAUAAAGUAACACACAUUAUCUAUUUGCAAGUACUAACAAUUUGAUGGGAUGUAACACACCGAUCAAUUAGAUUUAUAUCUAGAUUCCAUCAUUCCGAAGUAAUUAAGCACCUACAGUGUUUGGCAGGGUCGCAGGGAUAGAACAAGUAGGCUGCAAAAAACAGUAACUGAGGGCAGGAUAAAGCAGUUUGUGAGCCAGAGCGUGUUUGCAGGCCAAAUCAACCAAAAUUUCCCAAUAAGGGACGAAAUUAGUGGCGGUAGUAGACUUGUAGUGAUUUGGUUUACUGGAUGGAGUUUCUCUAAUGAUAUUCCAGUUUGGCAUUUUUAUGCUUGAACUUCUGGUCGAUGCUUCUUGUCCAUAGUUAACCCCCUGUACAGGCGCAAGUGUUGUAUCUGUGUGACUGUGUCUGUUGGUUGUUAUUUACCCAGAUUGGAGGUUGUUAACUCUAGCAUUGUGAAGAAGAAAAAGAUUGCAUAAGCUCGGGGUAGGUGGAAGAACGAAAAGAACUAAUACUAGCACAACCGUAUUUCUAGGUGAACUGACCUUCAAUUGCCCUAAACUGCCCAUGAAUGAUUUUUAUUAAUAAAUAACAACAAGGAACAAACUAUUAAUCAUCGGAUGGUAGAAUACUAGUAAAGGGAAACAUAUUUCCCCCUUGUACACAGUUAGGUUUUUAUCCUUAAAGGAAAUUGUGUUGUAAAGUAAGAAGGAUAUUUUAAUUUUAUCCUUUAAGAUAAUUCUUAACAAAUGCAGGCAGGAUUUUGACAGUUUAUUUAUAAGGAAAUAACAAUACAUGUCCUUCGAAAGGUGUACAUAAUUGCAGUCCCCUAGUUUGUAAACUUGCAAAGUAUUUGAAAAUCCUUGGUCAUUUAACCAACUGUGAAUGUGGACAUUCCACUAAAAAGACUAGUUGGCAGCAUCUUGUUAGAGAUUUACCUGCCUGACUGCAUUUCUGACCAAGAAUACAUGGAAGUUGUCUGUAAGCUCCUGAAUAGUUUAGGACAACCUCCAGUGCAAAAGCAGUGGUGUCCAUCUUUGUUGAACUUCCAUCAGAUUCCAGAUAAAGAAAUUGCUUAGUGCUGCUUCAGAGAGAAGUAGCACUAACAUGUUCCAACGAUCUUACGGGGAAGUAAUUAGAAGAAUUAGUCAUGUCUUGUGUUAAUUACACAUAUUGAUCACUACUGCAUGUCUGCAUCACACACUUAGAUGUUGUUGCCUAUUUGGACAGGCACACAUGUCCAUAAUGGUGUGUUGUCUAGUCUUCAGUUUGAAACUUGGGUUAAGACUGAAACAAAAGAGGGAAAGUAUAGCUGCUUAAGCAUCUAUUGUUUGGACAAAUAGGCAGCAACUUGUUAGAGAUUUACCUGUCCGGCUGCAUAUAUGACCAAGAAUAGAUGGCUGUGGUUGUUAAACUCCAGAAUAGUUUAGGAUAACCUCGAGUGCAGAUUCAGCAGUCCAAGGACUUCCCUCACAUUUCCCCGUAUUUAGCGUUUCUCUAGGCUUGUCUGCCUGUACAAAAGCAGAUGGGGUCACUUUAUUGAGCUUCCACUAGAUCUCAGACAAGGAAAUUGGUUAUCGAUGCUUCAGCUUCAUGGAGAAGCAGGAAUAACAUAUUCUUUUCUUGUGGGGAAGGAAUAACAUGUUCUAACGAUCUUGCAUGGAAAAACACUGCGUGAAUUGCAACAAUUAGCGGCGUAAAACAUCUACUGUGUUAGUUUACACGCAUCGAUCAUCACUGCAUCACGUACUUAGACGCGCAGCUGCAUAUUUGAGCCUUGUUUCCUUGGAUAAAGCAUCUCUCUUCUACACAACCCGAACACGGGGGAUUGAUUCGGAAAAUACUUUUAACUGAAAGGGGGUUUUCCUGUCUUCCGUAACUGGACCUCCUUCUUAAUUUUUAACCUUUCGAUUUCUAUGUUUUGAGGAUAGUAGACUGGCAGAGAUGGACUAGUUUAUCACUCCAGCAUACGUGCCACAUGUGGCAUGGCGUGCUGCCUGGUGUUCAGUUUAGAAACUUGGCAAAGACUUGAAAAGAAAAAGGGGGGAAACGUAUCUGCGUAGUCGCUUACGCAUCUCUGAUGUCUGGACAAUUCCAGGGGAGCUAGAAACUAAUGGCGCCGGGAUACUGCUAUGUCUGUGGUCAGUGGACGAUGGACGAGGCGGUCCGUUCCACGGGCCGUGGCAGACGGUCGGGCCACGGCGGCGCCAGAAACAGGCAAGAUCACGGAGCCAGCCAGCCAACAGAUCGACCAACAAACCGACGAGCGCAAAACCAACGGCGCUUCCGUGCGCGCGACAGAUCCGCCGCGAAGCGAGGGGCGGCGGACCGUGGCGGUAACCAGUAAGGACUAAGGUCAACCGAGCCGGACAAGAACCGCCGAGAUCGGUCGUUGCCACCAAC
RNAcentral lists this long non-coding RNA (2825 nucleotides) under Hordeum vulgare. RNAcentral describes it as "long non-coding RNA (HVUL_LNC000345)". The record is from RNAcentral. Lineage: Eukaryota; Viridiplantae; Streptophyta; Magnoliopsida; Poales; Poaceae.